AGCUUAUUGAAUUUUAAUAUAAUAAGUAUAUUCUGCCCAGUGAUUUUUUCAACGGCCGCGGUACCCUGACCGUGCAAAGGUAGCAUAAUCAUUUGCCUUUUAAUUGAAGGCUAGAAUGAAAGAAUAAACACGAAUCUAUCUUUCCCAAACUAUUCUCUAAAAAUUAUUCUUUAGGUGAAGAAACCUAAAUCUUUUAAAAAGACAAGAAGACCCUAUCAAGCUUCAUAUUUUCUAAACCCAAUUUAAUUUAAAUAUUUGGUUGGGGCGAUUAAUGGAAAUUUCUACUCUUCCAUAAACUUAAAGAUCCAUUUAUCUUAUAAUUUAAAAAUUUAAAAGAAAAAAGCUACUGUAGGGAUAACAGGCUAAUAUCUUCUAAGAGUCCAAAUUAAAGAAGAUGAUUGGCACCUCGAUGUUGGCUUAGGAUUACUUCACUUUGCAGAAGAAGUGAAAGUUAGUUUGUUCAACUAUUAUACUCCU
Molecule: ribosomal RNA, 477 nt
Filed under: Proceraea prismatica
Lineage: Eukaryota; Metazoa; Annelida; Polychaeta; Phyllodocida; Syllidae
Description: partial 16S ribosomal RNA
Rfam family: Bacterial large subunit ribosomal RNA
Source: RNAcentral